Molecule: long non-coding RNA, 240 nt
Filed under: Physcomitrium patens
Lineage: Eukaryota; Viridiplantae; Streptophyta; Bryopsida; Funariales; Funariaceae
Description: long non-coding RNA (PPAT_LNC014054)
Source: RNAcentral
UGUAUAUAUAUAUAUAUAUAUAUAUGUAUUUUUUUGUAAGAUUUUGUUGUCAGGAUUGUGUACUAUGUGACGACUAUUGCAAAUAUCUACGUGUUUCAUUUCUUUCUUUUAUUUGUUUGUGAGAAACUCAUUUUUUUUAGAUUUGAAUGCCUCUCUUGUCAUCAAAGUUUGAUGGACUGUUUUGAAACUUUGCACCUGUGGUCAUGUAGCCUUUGAAUACUUUUCUGUUGUUGCUACUUU